GAUCAUGGCUCAGGAUGAACGCUAGCGGCAGGCCUAAUACAUGCAAGUCGAACGGGAUGGGCCCCUUCGGGGGCCCUGAGAGUGGCGCACGGGUGCGCAACGCGUAUGCAACCAACCCCCGACAGGCGGAUAGCCGGUGGAAACGCCGGAUAAUACGCCAUGGUUCCUCGGGAGGGCAUCCUCCUGAGGAUAAAGCCGAGAGGCGGUCGGGGACGGGCAUGCGUCCCAUUAGAUGGUAGGCGGGGUGACGGCCCACCUAGUCCGCGAUGGGUAGGGGAUCUGAGAGGACGGUCCCCCACACUGGUACUGAGACACGGACCAGACUCCUGCGGGAGGCAGCAGUAAGGGAUAUUGGUCAAUGGGGGCAACCCUGAACCAGCCAUGCCCGCGUGAGGGAAUGAGGCCCUACGGGUCGUGAACCUCUUUUAUUCGGGGACAAGGACUGGGUCGCGAACCUAGUUUGAGGGUACCGAAGGAAUAAGCAUCGGCUAACUCCGUGCCAGCAGCAGC
Molecule: ribosomal RNA, 510 nt
Filed under: uncultured bacterium
Lineage: Bacteria
Description: bacterial SSU rRNA
Rfam family: Bacterial small subunit ribosomal RNA
Source: RNAcentral